This 382-nucleotide ribosomal RNA is filed under the name uncultured eukaryote. RNAcentral's name for it is "partial 18S ribosomal RNA". It matches the Rfam family "Eukaryotic small subunit ribosomal RNA", at positions 592 to 976 of the family's 1831-position model. The record is from RNAcentral.
UGUAAGCGUAUACCAAAGUUGUUGCAGUUAAAACGCUCGUAGUCGGAAUUUGGCAGUUCCGGAUGUGUGCACGUCGUGUGCGCACUUCGCGGGGAUUGCUUUUGUGGUCUUGCGUAGGAUGAGGCACUUUUAUUAAUGAACGUCCUCACGCAACCACUUUUUACUGUGAGAAAAUCAGAGUGCUCAAAGCAGGCAUUUGCCGUGAAUGUAUUAGCAUGGAAUAAUAGAAUAGGACUUGGUUCUAUUUUGUUGGUUUGUUGGGACUGAGUAAUGAUUAAGAGGGACAGUUGGGGGCAUUUGUAUUUCGGUGCUAGAGGUGAAAUUCUUAGAUUACCGAAAGACAAACUGCUGCGAAAGCGUCUGCCAAGGAUGUUUUCAUUGA